GAGUCCCUAAAAUAUUUAUUGGAUGAAUUGAUUAAAACACAUCUGCUCCUGUGACUCCAUUGCUCUACACCUUCUGAUUGCUUCCUUCCCUCUCCAGCCUCCUUCCUUGCCUAUAAAAUCAAGGCCCAGCUUCCCAGCAUGGUAUUCAAGGUAUUCCAGGCUUCCGUCCUGGCACCCAACCUUUUUUUCAGCCCCGAUCUUCCUCACACACACCCUCCCUUAACAGCCAGGAGCAUGUGUGGAAACAGGAGGGAGCUCUGGGAGGGCUGGCUCCCAAAGGUGCCCCGUGCUUUUGCUGUUCCUGGCCUGGGUGGCCCUUUCCUACCCCAUCUCCCACCUGUCAGUUCCUAUCUUUCACUCAGACAUCACUUCCUCCAAGAAGCAUUCCAGGGUCCUUCUCAGGUCCAAUUAAUCUCUCACCCUCUCUGCAUCCGUGACAGCCCUUCCUGGGAAUGCCCUCCUUGCCACGCCACCAACUCCUUUAGGGCAAUUACUCAUCUCUGGGCACCGUCCUCCCCUCCCCCACCCAGUGUCUCAUCAUGCCUGGGACAUUUCAGGUUUUUUUGUUUUUUUUUUUUUAACUUGAGUUGAAGAAAAGCAUGUAGAAUAGGGAGAAUUCUAAGAGGAAAGGUUAAGCCCUGGGGAACGGGAUGGGACAAUUUCACCCUGUCAUCAGGAAGUGCUCCUAAUAGAAGGGCAGGGACAGGGUGUGUAAAUAAACCAGUUCAAAUUCUCAGAGCUCACUGGGCCUGUGGACCUCUCCAAGCACAAUCCAUCCAGUUUACAAAGAGGGAAAGGUCCUCGCCUGAGGACUCAGAGCCACCUGGUCAUUGAAGCACAGAAGGUAGAGCCAGGAAGGGCCCCUGGGGAUUGCCUGGUUCCAUGGUUCUUGCUCUUUCCUCAGCCUCCACUUCAGUUGCAUGUCCGACACAAACCCAUCAGGAAUGCCUGUCUUUACAUAUGGCAUCUCCAGCUGGAGGGUGGAGAGUGGGGGAGAGAGAGAGAGAGAGAGAUGGAGGAGGUGAGGCUAGCCUCCUCCCAGGACAGGUAAGGAAUGUGAGGCUCUGAGAGGUGGUAGAGACACAGGGUCACACAAGGCUGGGGAACCCCAUUUGGUCCUACUGCCUCACAGCUGGGGAGAUGAGAAGAACCUUAAGGAGGGAAUGGCUGGCAGAGCUAGAGUUUAAGGAGCACCUCUGGUCAGUAGUGGACUCACAUUUGAAAAAAUUCUCAGGCCGGGUGCGGUGGCUCACGCCUGUAAUCCCAGCACUUUGGGAGGCCGAGGUGGGAGGAUCGCUUGAGCCCAGGAGUUUGAGACCAGCCUGGGCAACAUAGUAAGACCCCAUCUCUACAAAAAUACAAACUAGACAGAUGUGGUAGCAUGCACAUGUAGUCCCAGCUACUCAGGAGGCUGAGGUGGGAAGAUCGCUUGAGCCCAGGAGUUUGAGGCUGCGGUGACCCUCGAUCAUGA
RNAcentral lists this long non-coding RNA (1471 nucleotides) under Homo sapiens (human). RNAcentral describes it as "HSALNT0003763". The stretch from base 1235 to 1351 matches the Rfam family "Metazoan signal recognition particle RNA". Lineage: Eukaryota; Metazoa; Chordata; Mammalia; Primates; Hominidae. The record is from RNAcentral.